Molecule: ribosomal RNA, 548 nt
Filed under: uncultured bacterium
Lineage: Bacteria
Description: partial 16S ribosomal RNA
Rfam family: Bacterial small subunit ribosomal RNA
Source: RNAcentral
UGGGGAAUUUUGGACAAUGGGCGCAAGCCUGAUCCAGCCAUGCCGCGUGCGGGAAGAAGGCCUUCGGGUUGUAAACCGCUUUUGUCAGGGAAGAAAUCUUCUGAGUUAAUACCUCGGGAGGAUGACGGUACCUGAAGAAUAAGCACCGGCUAACUACGUGCCAGCAGCCGCGGUAAUACGUAGGGUGCAAGCGUUAAUCGGAAUUACUGGGCGUAAAGCGUGCGCAGGCGGUUUUGUAAGACAGAGGUGAAAUCCCCGGGCUCAACCUGGGAACUGCCUUUGUGACUGCAAGGCUUGAGUGCGGCAGAGGGGGGAUGGAAUUCCGCGUGUAGCAGUGAAAUGCGUAGAUAUGCGGAGGAACACCGAUGGCGAAGGCAAUCCCCUGGGCCUGCACUGACGCUCAUGCACGAAAGCGUGGGGAGCAAACAGGAUUAGAUACCCUGGUAGUCACGCCCUAAACGAUGUCAACUGGUUGUUGGGAAGGUUCCUUCUCAGUAACGUAGCUAACGCGUGAAGUUGACCGCCUGGGGAGUACGGCCGCAAGGUUG